This 1230-nucleotide long non-coding RNA is filed under the name Sinocyclocheilus grahami. RNAcentral describes it as "lncRNA (ENSSGRG00000045181.1)". The record is from RNAcentral. Lineage: Eukaryota; Metazoa; Chordata; Actinopteri; Cypriniformes; Cyprinidae.
UAGAUUCUCUGUUUAUCAUUACAAGUGCUGUGCAUGAGUGUGAAGCUAUGACUGACUAUAGCUCAUAUGAAUGAUGAAGUUAUUGAAAGCUGUAACACCUCCUGUCCUGCGAAGGGUGCUAGAGUCACUUCAGUUAGCACAGCAACCUGAUGUGCUGGGGGUUGAGUUUAAAGGGGAACUUUCACGCGCUCGUCUCUGUGCUGUUAUCGGUACCUGUAUUGUCUGUAUUUAUUGUUUAAAUACAGAGACCUGAAAUAAAGUAGUAAAAUGACUAAACUGGAUCGUCUGAACACUUUCAUGACCGAGCGCUUGAUGGCUGCUGUGAAGGAGAUCAUCUUCACAGUCGGUAGAACGGUGCGGGAGUAUGAGGAGGAAACGGAGCGAAUCAGGAGCGAAAACAAGCGACUGAAAGAAAUGUUGCGAGACUCUGGGUGUUUCAGUGAACAAGCAAAUGCUGCUCCUGUGCAGUCUUAUCAGCCCUUCUCUCCUGGGCAGCCCGGAUGGAUCUGCAGCCAGAAUGAGGAGCUAGAACCCGUUGAAGAGAUCCAGCAGGACCAAAGCCAGAGGAUCGGUGAACAACACCCGUUCAUAAAACCGGAAAAGCCUGAGUACUCUGUCGAUGUUUACAGGGAAUCCGUAGCUUUGCCAUCAAAAGCCACCUACGACGAGGGCUCACACAUGUGCGCUGAUCACACCAACACAAAUCCUAUUGAGGAUGAAAUGACAAACUGUCAUUUCUCAUCUAAAAUCAAAGUUGAAUUCAUGAACUCCAGCUUGUGUUCAGGCGAUGCAAUGGGAAGCACUGAAAAUGCAUAUCAGAGCUGGUCGCCAAACAGCCCAGAUUUGCCUUUAGGGACAUCGGAUAUCUACAGAGCACAGCACCCAAACCAGCCAACAUACGCUAACAGCGAAGCUCCUGCCACAGUAUCUCAGCAUAACAGCUCAUCUCAUGAUGCCAAUCACGUUUCAUAUCACAACAUAUUAUGUACAAACAGGGCUUACUGUAGCAGUAAAUGCUGUGAAAUGCAAAAGAGGACAAUAGCAAAAUCAAGCCCUGUGUGGAAGUAUUUCUCUCUAAAAGAGGGAGACUGUAGCAAAGCAGUGUGCCUUAUGUGUAGGGCCGUCAUAUCUCGUGGUCGCAAAGAAUACACAACGUCGGCUCUUCUAAAGCACCUUCGGAUGAAACAUGGUAAAUGUUGAUGUUAUCAUUUGUUCUGAUUUAUUUAUAUA